GAUGAACGCUGGCGGCGUGCCUAAUACAUGCAAGUCGAGCGAACAGACGAGGAGCUUGCUCCUCUGACGUUAGCGGCGGACGGGUGAGUAACACGUGGAUAACCUACCUAUAAGACUGGGAUAACUUCGGGAAACCGGAGCUAAUACCGGAUAAUAUAUUGAACCGCAUGGUUCAAUAGUGAAAGACGGUUUUGCUGUCACUUAUAGAUGGAUCCGCGCCGCAUUAGCUAGUUGGUAAGGUAACGGCUUACCAAGGCGACGAUGCGUAGCCGACCUGAGAGGGUGAUCGGCCACACUGGAACUGAGACACGGUCCAGACUCCUACGGGAGGCAGCAGUAGGGAAUCUUCCGCAAUGGGCGAAAGCCUGACGGAGCAACGCCGCGUGUGUGAUGAAGGUCUUCGGAUCGUAAAACUCUGUUAUUAGGGAAGAACAAAUGUGUAAGUAACUAUGCACGUCUUGACGGUACCUAAUCAGAAAGCCACGGCUAACUACGUG
RNAcentral lists this ribosomal RNA (497 nucleotides) under uncultured bacterium. Its description in RNAcentral is "partial 16S ribosomal RNA". It matches the Rfam family "Bacterial small subunit ribosomal RNA", at positions 28 to 507 of the family's 1533-position model. The record is from RNAcentral.